This 468-nucleotide ribosomal RNA is filed under the name uncultured bacterium. Its description in RNAcentral is "partial 16S ribosomal RNA". It matches the Rfam family "Bacterial small subunit ribosomal RNA", at positions 28 to 507 of the family's 1533-position model. The record is from RNAcentral.
GACGAACGCUGGCGGCGUGCUUAACACAUGCAAGUCGAACGGAAAGGCCCUGCUUUUGUGGGGUGCUCGAGUGGCGAACGGGUGAGUAACACGUGAGUAACCUUCCCUUUACUUUGGGAUAACUUCAGGAAACUGGGGCUAAUACCGGAUAGGAGCUCCUGCUGCAUGGUGGGGGUUGGAAAGUUUCGGCGGUUGGGGAUGGACUCGCGGCUUAUCAGCUUGUUGGGGGGGUAGUGGCUUACCAAGGCUUUGACGGGUAGCCGGCCUGAGAGGGUGACCGGCAACAUUGGGCCUGAGAUACGGCCCAGACUCCUACGGGAGGCAGCAGUGGGGAAUAUUGCACAAUGGGCGGAAGCCUGAUGCAGCAACGCCGCGUGCGGGAUGACGGCCUUCGGGUUGUAAACCGCUUUCGCCUGUGACGAAGCGUGAGUGACGGUAAUGGGUAAAGAAGCACCGGCUAACUACGUG